RNAcentral lists this ribosomal RNA (592 nucleotides) under Macrophthalmus banzai. Its description in RNAcentral is "partial 16S ribosomal RNA". Lineage: Eukaryota; Metazoa; Arthropoda; Malacostraca; Decapoda; Macrophthalmidae. The record is from RNAcentral.
GGAGAGAAUAAGAAAAAUAAUUUUCGUAAUUUUAGUAAUUUUUAAUGAAAAUAAAGUAAAGACUAAAGAGAAAAGUACUGUGAAGGAAAGUUGUUAAAACUUUUUAUAGAAGAAGUAAAAUUUUGUGCCUCGUGUAUCAGAAAAAGUUUAUAUAGUUUAAUUACAAUAAGUAUCUCGAAAUAAAAUACAGUAAUUUUUAUAAAAUUUUCUUUUUAGAAAAAAAGAAUUUAAUAUAAAAUUUAAAGUGAAAUGCUAGCUGAGUUUUAUGAUAUCUAGUUUUUUUAAAAAUAAAUUUAAUUUAAUUUUUAUAAAGAAAAAGUUAUAAAAUUAAAUGGUAGGGGGGAUUAGCUCUUUACGGAAAAGAUAAUGAAAUAGUUAAAUAAAAGUAAAUUAUAUAAAUUAGGCUUAGAAGUAGCUAUAUUGAAAAAGUGUUUUAACUAAAUUAUAAUUGCUUGAAUAUUUAAAAUAAAACUUUUCUUAGGUAUAAGAAAAUGGCUUAAACAAAACAAAACAAGAUAUGAUGAUUUUAUUAGUAAAAUUUAUUGAGUAAAUAAAGAUAUUAAAAAGUAAAAAUUGUUUAAAAAAAUAAGUA